CUCAGGAACUGUGAGAUCAUGACCUGAGCUGAAAUUAAGAGAUGCUCAACCAAUUGAGCCUGCCUUUUUUUUUUUUUUUUUUUUGCCAAAAAAUGGCACUCCCCCGUCAACCCCCACCUUUUUUUUUUUUUUUUUUUCCUACACAUUUUAAAGCAGGACAGGACAAGGAAACAGCCUGGAGGGAGGGUCAUUAGUUCAAAGGCAGGCGGGUGGCUAGGCACAGUAUCAGACCCCAUCCAGGUUUCCUGGCAUCUAGAUGUACACAGACCACCCUUGGCCAAGCGUCUGGCUGCUGACUCCUCUCAGGAAGCCUGGUCAGCUCAACUGCAUGCUAACGGCAUUUCUGACAAACCAAACGUUUAGGAAGUCACUCUUUUCAGUCUUCUUUCCUGCUUCUGAUGGCUCUGGAAGGAACGGCUGUCUGCCCUCCCCCCGUCCCCACAAACAGACUUUCAGAUCAUUUGACGUCUGAAAUCCUCUCCCUCUAAACUUACUGAAGAAGACAACUGGGUUAUGCCAUGAGGUACCCAGAAGGGCAUCAGAACUUGCAUUCAUGGUGAAUUAUGAGUGCUGAACCACACGGGCGACGCCUCACCUCUGGAUUCAAUUUCCCUGAUGCACAUGUCCACCACCAUUGGCCGCUUGGUGAUAUGGGCUUUCACGAGUGUGGUAAGGUCACAACUGUAUACCUUCUUGACAUGUUUCAAGUCUGGCUUACAGUCGUUUGGGACCAUCUUGGAACACUGCUUAUGAA
Molecule: long non-coding RNA, 754 nt
Organism: Acinonyx jubatus (cheetah)
Lineage: Eukaryota; Metazoa; Chordata; Mammalia; Carnivora; Felidae
Exons: 2
Source: RefSeq, a predicted model, not a curated record